This 497-nucleotide ribosomal RNA is filed under the name uncultured bacterium. RNAcentral describes it as "partial 16S ribosomal RNA". It matches the Rfam family "Bacterial small subunit ribosomal RNA", at positions 28 to 507 of the family's 1533-position model. The record is from RNAcentral.
GAUGAACGCUGGCGGCGUGCCUAAUACAUGCAAGUCGAGCGAACGGACGAGAAGCUUGCUUCUCUGAUGUUAGCGGCGGACGGGUGAGUAACACGUGGAUAACCUACCUAUAAGACUGGGAUAACUUCGGGAAACCGGAGCUAAUACCGGAUAAUAUUUUGAACCGCAUGGUUCAAAAGUGAAAGACGGUCUUGCUGUCACUUAUAGAUGGAUCCGCGCUGCAUUAGCUAGUUGGUAAGGUAACGGCUUACCAAGGCAACGAUGCAUAGCCGACCUGAGAGGGUGGUCGGCCACACUGGAACUGAGACACGGUCCAGACUCCUACGGGAGGCAGCAGUAGGGAAUCUUCCGCGACGGGGGAAAGCCUGACGGAGCAACGCCGCGGGAAUGAUGAAGGUCUUCGGAUCGUAAAACGCUGUUAUUAGGGAAGAACAUAUGUGUAAGUAACUGUGCACAUCUUGACGGUACCUGAUCAGAAAGCCACGGCUAACUACGUG